Long non-coding RNA from Symphalangus syndactylus (siamang), 1593 nucleotides. RefSeq lists it as uncharacterized. The record is from RefSeq and is a predicted model, not a curated record. Lineage: Eukaryota; Metazoa; Chordata; Mammalia; Primates; Hylobatidae.
AAGAAACACUGGUUAUAUAGAAAUACUCAGGCUGGGCACAGUGGCCCAUGCCUGUAAUCCCAACACUUUGGGAGGCUGAGGCGGGCGGAUCAUAAGGUCAGAAGAUUGAGACCAUCCUGGCUAACACGGUAAAACCCCGUCUCUACUAAAAAUACAAAAAUUAGCCGGCCGUGGUGGCAGGUGUGCCUGUAGUCCCAGCUACUUGGGAGGCUGGGGCAGGAGAAUGGCAUGAACCCAGGAGGCGGAGCUUGCAGUGAGCCGAGAUCGCACCACUGCACUCCAGCCUGGGUGACAAAGCAAGACUCCGUCUCAAAAAAAAAAAAAGAAAGAAAGAAAGAAAAAGAAAAAAAAAAGAAAUAAAAUUACUCUGAGGAUUGGUUAAUUUCCAUAUAUAAUUAGUAUCAUAUUUUUAUGUGUCAAAAAGUAGGUCUUUUUGUAUUACUUAUUUGGAAAGCUCAAACUUCAAUACAAAGUUUGUAGACACCUUUGCAUAAAACUAGACACAAAAAACCCCAGCUGUUUAAAAUCAAAAUAAUAAUUUUAAAAUUUUGAAGCCAUUUAAAAAUUUUUUUAACUCAUUAGAGUGAGUGAGAAGCAGGAUUGAACACUGGAUUUGCAGCUUCUCUAGGCUUCACUUUGUCUAUAUUAUGCCUUCAACCCAUUCACUAAAUAUUAACCAGCACUAGUAUCAAGUAGGUAACACACACAUGAGUCAUAUUAUAUGAUCGCUCUGUUAUCCAAAGAGCCACUGGGGCCAACUACUACUGUAUAUAGAAUUUUUGAAAUACAUCUCUGAUAUGGUUUGGCUCUGUGUUCCCAGACAAAUCUCAUCUGGAAUUGUAUUCCUUUAAUUCCUUUGUGCUAUGGGAGGGACCUCGUGGGAGAUAAUUUGAAUCAUGGCGGCAGUUUCCACCAUACUGUUCUCAUAAUAGUGAAUAAGUCUCACAAGAUCUGAUGUUUUCUUUUUUAAUCAGGGGUUUCUGCUUUUGCAUCUUCCUCAUUUGUUUCUUGCCACUGCCCACUAAGAAGUGUCUUUUGCCUCCUGCCAUGAUUCUGAGGCCUACCCAGCCAUGUGGAACUGAGUCACCAAGGAAGAGGAAAGGACACAGAAAGGGAGUGUGGCAGGAAGGGGCUUUUUAAUCAGGAGAUCAGACCUCUUUACUGUCUUCAAUGAGAGAUGGGCUUUUUCAGAUGCAACUAGAAAUACUGGUCAGUUGUUUGCUAAGAACCAGAUAUGUGCAACCUAAGUUAUCACUUCACCCUACCAGGCAAGUCAAAGAAAAGACUUCCUAAUUCAACACUGACAGAUUUCAUCAGAUGUCCUAAUAAAGCACUGAUAAUUAAGAUAAUAGACGAACGCUAUUAAGGCAACUACAAUUUACAAGGAACACCCCAACCCACAGUUGCAAGACGGGGAAAAGGAAGGGAAUAAGAAAGAUUUCUAUUCUUCUAACACCAAGUAUACGCCCACUAAGAUCUGUAGGAUCCAGUAACUUUUAGGAGAAAGGUACUGGAAAAGCAGGUAUUGUUGAUGGAUUUCCCAACUGUCACAUUCCUGACUCCCAGAGGCAGGUCUCUUCACACAUUCUUUCA